Molecule: ribosomal RNA, 660 nt
Filed under: uncultured bacterium
Lineage: Bacteria
Description: bacterial SSU rRNA
Rfam family: Bacterial small subunit ribosomal RNA
Source: RNAcentral
CCGAAUUCUUCCACACAGAGUUUGAUCCGGCUCAGAUUGAACGCUGGCGGCAGGCCUAACACAUGCAAGUCGAGCGGAUGAUGGGAGCUUGCUCCCGGAUUCAGCGGCGGACGGGUGAGUAAUGCCUAGGAAUCUGCCUGGUAGUGGGGGACAACGUUUCGAAAGGAACGCUAAUACCGCAUACGUCCUACGGGAGAAAGCAGGGGACCUUCGGGCCUUGCGCUAUCAGAUGAGCCUAGGUCGGAUUAGCUAGUUGGUGGGGUAAAGGCCUACCAAGGCGACGAUCCGUAACUGGUCUGAGAGGAUGAUCAGUCACACUGGAACUGAGACACGGUCCAGACUCCUACGGGAGGCAGCAGUGGGGAAUAUUGGACAAUGGGCGAAAGCCUGAUCCAGCCAUGCCGCGUGUGUGAAGAAGGUCUUCGGAUUGUAAAGCACUUUAAGUUGGGAGGAAGGGCAGUAAGUUAAUACCUUGCUGUUUUGACGUUACCAACAGAAUAAGCACCGGCUAACUUCGUGCCAGCAGCCGCGGUAAUACGAAGGGUGCAAGCGUUAAUCGGAAUUACUGGGCGUAAAGCGCGCGUAGGUGGUUUGGUAAGAUGGAUGUGAAAUCCCCGGGCUCAACCCUGGAACUGCAUCCAUAACUGCCUGACUAGAGUA